GGGGAUGUGGCUGAAUGGUACGGGACUUGCCUGGUGUGCAGGAGACCCUGGCUUUGACUGCUAGCAUCGCAA
RNAcentral lists this transfer RNA (72 nucleotides) under Rattus norvegicus (Norway rat). It matches the Rfam family "tRNA". From Rfam's summary of the family: Transfer RNA (tRNA) molecules are approximately 80 nucleotides in length. Lineage: Eukaryota; Metazoa; Chordata; Mammalia; Rodentia; Muridae. The record is from Rfam by way of RNAcentral.